Molecule: ribosomal RNA, 261 nt
Filed under: Triticum aestivum (bread wheat)
Lineage: Eukaryota; Viridiplantae; Streptophyta; Magnoliopsida; Poales; Poaceae
Description: partial small subunit ribosomal RNA
Source: RNAcentral
AUGACGAUCUUAAGCUGGAACUGCCGGGGCCUAGGGCAACCCCGGACAGUUCAGGAACUAGUGUGCUUAGUACACACUCUCAAGCCCAAGCUUGUGUUCCUGUCAGAGACGCGGCAAAGCAACUCGUACGUCAAUAAGUUAAGGUGGAGGCUUGGCCUCAAGCAUUGUAUCACGCAGCCCGGUAUCGGAAAAGAUGCGGGAAUUGCGCUUUUCUAUGAUGAGAGUGUUGAAGUAAUAAAGCUUGCCGUUGGCCCGAGGUAA